UACAGAGGUCUCAAGCGUUGUUCGGAUUCAUUGGGCGUAAAGGGUGCGUAGGUGGCGUCGUAAGUCAGGUGUGAAAUCUCGGGGCUCAACCCCGAAACCGCACUUGAUACUGCGAUGCUCGAGUACUGGAGAGGAGAUUGGAAUUUACGGUGUAGCAGUGAAAUGCGUAGACAUCGUAAGGAAGACCAGUGGCGAAGGCGAAUCUCUGGACAGUUACUGACACUGAGGCACGAAGGCCAGGGGAGCAAACGGG
Molecule: ribosomal RNA, 253 nt
Filed under: uncultured bacterium
Lineage: Bacteria
Description: partial 16S ribosomal RNA
Rfam family: Bacterial small subunit ribosomal RNA
Source: RNAcentral